This is a long non-coding RNA of Rhododendron vialii, 676 nucleotides long. RefSeq lists it as uncharacterized. The record is from RefSeq and is a predicted model, not a curated record. Lineage: Eukaryota; Viridiplantae; Streptophyta; Magnoliopsida; Ericales; Ericaceae. The transcript has 2 exons.
CUGUUAAGACUUUGACUGGCUUAAUAUUUUCAUGCGUGCGUAUGCAUUCACGAUUGAAUCAGUCUUCUUUCUCACGGACUAAUGGCAUCCUCUGUUAUGCAUGAUUCGUAGCAUGAUCUCGUAGUCUUAGAAUAUUGGUUCUGAACAUUCAUGUAGGCCUGUUUUUGUGGAGAAAUUCAAAAUUCAAACCUAUUUCUCCCGUUCAGCAUCAUAGAGUUUGUAAUAUAUUAGCCAAAUGCACGAAGGAAUUUUUGUGGUCCUUGGGGUGUGACUUCAGGGCAGAACAAUGCGCCGGAAAUGAAAUCUAAGAAGAACCUUGGACUUUUUCAGCAGGGAAUAAAGCAAUCACAGGCAUGAUUUCCAGGGAGGCAAGUCCCAGACACUGCUCCCUUAACCUUAUCCAUGCAUGCUCCGGCGCACAUUGCAUUGUUACAUCCCUCCAGCUUUAUCUUCUCCGAGCAAUCAGAGAUUGGUCCUUCAUCACCUGUCAUAACAAGAGUCAUGUUUUUCAAGAAUUAUUAUCAAGCAGAAAAGAUAAUUAGAGGGAGAAGUUUGUAGGAGUAAUACUCAACAGGUAUAGUAACAAUUGCAGGCUUGUUUGUCGGGGAGGAGGCAGAAAGCCAUUUCCGUGGUGUUAAACUGCUUUUCACAUGCAGCAAAGCACAUUUUGUCAUCA